GACGAACGCUGGCGGCGUGCUUAACACAUGCAAGUCGAACGGAAAGGCCCUGCUUUUGUGGGGUGCUCGAGUGGCGAACGGGUGAGUAACACGUGAGUAACCUGCCCUUGACUUUGGGAUAACUUCAGGAAACUGGGGCUAAUACCGGAUAUGAGCUCCUGCUGCAUGGGGGGGGUGGGAAAGUUUCGGCGGUUGGGGAUGGACUCGCGGCUUAUCAGCUUGUUGGUGGGGUAGUGGCUUACCAAGGCUUUGACGGGUAGCCGGCCUGAGAGGGUGACCGGCCACAUUGGGACUGAGAUACGGCCCAGACUCCUACGGGAGGCAGCAGUGGGGAAUAUUGCACAAUGGGCGGAAGCCUGAUGCAGCAACGCCGCGUGCGGGAUGACGGCCUUCGGGUUGUAAACCGCUUUCGCCUGUGACGAAGCGUGAGUGACGGUAAUGGGUAAAGAAGCACCGGCUAACUACGUG
Molecule: ribosomal RNA, 468 nt
Filed under: uncultured bacterium
Lineage: Bacteria
Description: partial 16S ribosomal RNA
Rfam family: Bacterial small subunit ribosomal RNA
Source: RNAcentral